CAGUCACUGACAGACCGUACCGAAAACCGACACUGGUGGGCGAGAUGAAUAUUCUCAGGCGCUUGAGAGAACUCUGGAGAAGGAACUCGGCAAAUUGACACCGUAACUUCGGGAGAAGGUGUGCCUCUAGUAGGUGAACCCGUACAGGGGGAGCCCAAUGAGGUCUCAGAAAAUCGGUGGCUGCGACUGUUUAUUAAAAACACAGCACUCUGCGAACACGGAAGUGGACGUAUAGGGUGUGACGCCUGCCCGGUGCUGGAAGGUUAAGUGAUGGGGUGCAAGCUCCUGAUCGAAGCCCCAGUAAACGGCGGCCGUAACUAUAACGGUCCUAAGGUAGCGAAAUUCCUUGUCGGGUAAGUUCCGACCUGCACGAAUGGCGUAACGCUGGCCACACUGUCUCCUCCAGAGACUCAGCGAAGUUGAAAUGGUUGUGAUGAUGCAAUCUACCCGCGGCUAGAUGGAAGGACCCCGUGCACCUUUACUGUAACUUUGCAUUGGACUGUGAACCGAUCUGUGUAGGAUAGCUGGGAGGCUUUGAAGUGGGGGCGCUAGCUCUCAUGGAGCCAACGUUGAAAUACCAGCCUGAUUGUUUUGCGAUUCUAACCUAGGCUCGUCAUCCGGGCCGGGGAUCGUGCAUGGUAGGCAGUUUGACUGGGGCGGUCUCCUCCCAAAGAGUAACGGAGGAGUACGAAGGUACGCUUACCACGGUCGGAAAUCGUGGCUUAAUGUGCAUUGGCAAAAGCGUGCUUGACUGCGAGACGUACAUGUCGAGCAGGUGCGAAAGCAGGUCAAAGUGAUCCGGUGGUUCUGUAUGGAAGGGCCAUCGCUCAACGGAUAAAAGGUACGCCGGGGAUAACAGGCUGAUUCCUCCCAAGAGUUCAUAUCGACGGGGGAGUUUGGCACCUCGAUGUCGGCUCAUCACAUCCUGGGGCUGUAGCCGGUCCCAAGGGUAUGGCUGUUCGCCAUUUAAAGUGGUACGUGAGCUGGGUUUAAAACGUCGUGAGACAGUUUGGUCCCUAUCUACCGUGGGCGUUGGAAGUUUGAGGGGGGCUGCUCCUAGUACGAGAGGACCGGAGUGGACGCAUCCCUGGUGUACCGAUUGUCACGCCAGUGGCAUUGUCGGGUAGCUAUAUGCGGAAGGGAUAACCGCUGAAAGCAUCUAAGCGGGAAACCUGCCCCAAGAUGAGACUUCCCGGAGGCUUGACCUCCCUGAAGGGUCGUCCUAGACCAGGACGUUGAUAGGCUGGGUGUGCAAGGGCUGCGAGGCCUUCAGCUAACCAGUACUAAUUGCCCGUGUGGCUUGACCUU
Molecule: ribosomal RNA, 1308 nt
Filed under: metagenome
Description: bacterial LSU rRNA
Rfam family: Bacterial large subunit ribosomal RNA
Source: RNAcentral